UACAGAGGGUGCAAGCGUUAAUCGGAAUUACUGGGCGUAAAGCGUGCGUAGACGGUUAUGUAAGUUAGGUGUGAAAGCCCCGGGCUCAACCUGGGAAUUGCAUUUAAGACGGCAUAGCUAGGGUGCGGAAGAGGGAAGCGGAAUUUCCGGUGUAGCGGUGAAAUGCGUAGAUAUCGGAAGGAACAUCAGUGGCGAAAGCGGCUUCCUGGUCCAGCACCGACGUUCAGGCACGAAAGCGUGGGGAGCAAACAGG
RNAcentral lists this ribosomal RNA (253 nucleotides) under uncultured bacterium. RNAcentral describes it as "partial 16S ribosomal RNA". It matches the Rfam family "Bacterial small subunit ribosomal RNA", at positions 524 to 776 of the family's 1533-position model. The record is from RNAcentral.